UCUAAAUUCACGGAUAUUAUAGAAUUCAUCUUUAAUUUUUAUCUUAUAAAAAAUUAAACCAUUAAUUCACUAUGAAUUGUUUGGCAUCUUAAAAAUUCUAGCAGGUGCUCUAAAAUCCUAAUUCACAAGCACCUAAGUACUAUUUUCUUCAUAUCUCACAAAUCCAAAAUCCAAAUAUUAUAAAAAAUUAUGUAUAAAAUUUAGAAACAUAAAAAUACACAUUUUAGAAAUUCUUAGCUAAAAUCUUAUCAAAUUGCACAGGAUAUAGCUUAAAACACAACUAUUAGCAAUUUGGAUUACUUACAAUUCUUUAGAUUCCAAAUUUUGAUUUCAACUUCUAAUAAUUCCUUCAUCUUAGCUCAAA
Molecule: long non-coding RNA, 364 nt
Filed under: Physcomitrium patens
Lineage: Eukaryota; Viridiplantae; Streptophyta; Bryopsida; Funariales; Funariaceae
Description: long non-coding RNA (PPAT_LNC003675)
Source: RNAcentral